Molecule: ribosomal RNA, 274 nt
Filed under: uncultured bacterium
Lineage: Bacteria
Description: partial 16S ribosomal RNA
Rfam family: Bacterial small subunit ribosomal RNA
Source: RNAcentral
CAAUCUAUGUCGGCGACCGGCGCACGGGUGCGUAACGCGUAUGCAACCUACCCAUUACAGGGGGAUAACACUGAGAAAUCGGUACUAAUACCCCAUAACAUCCAGGGAGGCAUCUUCUUGGGUUGAAAACUCCGGUGGUAAUGGAUGGGCAUGCGUUGUAUUAGUUAGUUGGUGGGGUAACGGCUCACCAAGACAACGAUACAUAGGGGGACUGAGAGGUUAACCCCCCACAUUGGUACUGAGACGCGGACCAAACUCCUACGGGAGGCAGCAG